Molecule: ribosomal RNA, 119 nt
Filed under: Pteropus alecto (black flying fox)
Lineage: Eukaryota; Metazoa; Chordata; Mammalia; Chiroptera; Pteropodidae
Source: RNAcentral
GACUACGGCCAUGCCACCCUGAACAUACCUAGUCCCAUCUGAUCUUGGAAGCUAAGCAGGAUCGGGCCUGGUUAGUACUUGGAUGGGAGACCACCUAGGAAGACCAGGUGCUUUAGGCA